GAAUUCACGAAAAACCUAGCUCCUGGUUUUUGGUGGUUUAAACCCCCUCCUGGUUUAAACCCCGAGCUGGGUUUUUCAUUUACGUUUCACGAAAGAGGUUUAAACCCCGAGGGGGUUUAAAUGCGUCAUAAAACGUCAUGAAACGUCAUAUUUUUUAGUCUGCUCUUAGAUGUGGUUUAAACCAUGGUUUAAUUUUACGAGCAUGCGCACUUGAGGAGUUUGUGAAAAAUCCGUGAAGCGAAGAAAAUUUUUCUUGCGGUCCUGGACCUGACAAGUGGUCUUCUUGAUUAGAAUUUCAAUUACAUCGGCAUCAGAGGUACCAUACAGUGUAGGUCUUUAUGGAUUAUCUCCAUCUUCUUCACAGCUUUAAAUUACUAAGAGCUACCUUUCCCAAGACAUUGUGGGCUACAUGAUGCUAAAAAUCCAUUGAAAUCGUACAAGGAUGGGCCAUCUCGAGAUCAGUAUCGACUGUCAAAAGAAACCGUCACCAAUAUGCUGGAAGCCGAAAUGAAGAGGGACACACAGCUCAGAGGAUAGAUCAACUUCCUGUUUAUUUGCAGGUGUUGACAACUCUCCAUUUUUAUGCAGUGGGAUCAUUUUAAAAGAUGCAUGGUGAUGAGGCAGCAAUAUCGCAGUCAUCAAUGUGUCAGAAGCUAAAGCAAGAAGGAAGAGGCAAUACAUGAAGAUUCCUACAAGAGAAGAAGUUGAAGCAACUCGGAGACAGUUCUAUCUAACUGUUAGAUUUCCAGGAGUGAAAGGUGCAAUUGAUGGGACACAUGUCUACAUCAAGAGCCGGGGGGGGGGGGGGGGGAUUGGGCCAUAUGCUUCUUAUAUACCCCUUCCAACUUCAUGUGGAGAGGAAUGCCUAUAACAAUGGCAAAAGCAUUAAGAACAUAGAAACACAGAGUUCAUUUAAAUUUAUGAAGAAUACUUUACU
Molecule: long non-coding RNA, 937 nt
Filed under: Lytechinus variegatus (green sea urchin)
Lineage: Eukaryota; Metazoa; Echinodermata; Echinoidea; Temnopleuroida; Toxopneustidae
Description: uncharacterized LOC121417309
Source: RNAcentral